ACGAACGCUGGCGGCGUGCCUAAUACAUGCAAGUUGAGCGAUGAAGAUUGGUGCUUGCACCAAUUUGAAGAGCAGCGAACGGGUGAGUAACGCGUGGGGAAUCUGCCUUUGAGCGGGGGACAACAUUUGGAAACGAAUGCUAAUACCGCAUAACAACUUUAAACAUAAGUUUUAAGUUUGAAAGAUGCAAUUGCAUCACUCAAAGAUGAUCCCGCGUUGUAUUAGCUAGUUGGUGAGGUAAAGGCUCACCAAGGCGAUGAUACAUAGCCGACCUGAGAGGGUGAUCGGCCACAUUGGGACUGUGACACGGCCCAAACUCCUACGGGAGGCAGCAGUAGGGAAUCUUCGGCAAUGGACGAAAGUCUGACCGAGCAACGCCGCGUGAGUGAAGAAGGUUUUCGGAUCGUAAAACUCUGUUGGUAGAGAAGAACGUUGGUGAGAGUGGAAAGCUCAUCAAGUGACGGUAACUACCCAGAAAGGGACGGCUAACUACGUG
RNAcentral lists this ribosomal RNA (496 nucleotides) under uncultured bacterium. RNAcentral's name for it is "partial 16S ribosomal RNA". It matches the Rfam family "Bacterial small subunit ribosomal RNA", at positions 29 to 507 of the family's 1533-position model. The record is from RNAcentral.